RNAcentral lists this ribosomal RNA (530 nucleotides) under uncultured beta proteobacterium. RNAcentral describes it as "bacterial SSU rRNA". It matches the Rfam family "Bacterial small subunit ribosomal RNA", at positions 338 to 859 of the family's 1533-position model. The record is from RNAcentral. Lineage: Bacteria; Pseudomonadati; Pseudomonadota; Betaproteobacteria.
CCUACGGGAGGCAGCAGUGGGGAAUUUUGGACAAUGGGCGCAAGCCUGAUCCAGCCAUUCCGCGUGAGUGAAGAAGGCCUUCGGGUUGUAAAGCUCUUUCGCAAGGGAAGAAACGAUGCAGUCUAAUAAGCUGCGUUAAUGACGGUACCUUGAUAAGAAGCACCGGCUAACUACGUGCCAGCAGCCGCGGUAAUACGUAGGGUGCGAGCGUUAAUCGGAAUUACUGGGCGUAAAGCGUGCGCAGGCGGUUCUGCAAGUCAGAUGUGAAAUCCCCGGGCUCAACCUGGGAACUGCGUUUGAAACUACAGGGCUAGAGUAUAGGAGAGGGGGGUAGAAUUCCACGUGUAGCAGUGAAAUGCGUAGAGAUGUGGAGGAAUACCAAUGGCGAAGGCAGCCCCCUGGCCUAAUACUGACGCUCAUGCACGAAAGCGUGGGGAGCAAACAGGAUUAGAUACCCUGGUAGUCCACGCCCUAAACGAUGUCUACUAGUUGUUGGUGGAGUAAAAUCCAUUAGUAACGCAGCUAACGCG